RNAcentral lists this ribosomal RNA (297 nucleotides) under uncultured bacterium. RNAcentral describes it as "partial 16S ribosomal RNA". It matches the Rfam family "Bacterial small subunit ribosomal RNA", at positions 29 to 289 of the family's 1533-position model. The record is from RNAcentral.
ACGAACGCUGGCGGCAUGCCUAAGACAUGCAAGUCGAACGAGAUGGUCUUUUGAAAGAGGAGUGCUUGCACAAUUCUCGAUAUAGAUUCAUCUAGUGGCGCACGGGUGAGUAACACGUAGGUAACCUACCUUUUAGAUUGGGAUAACAGUUGGAAACGAUUGCUAAUACCAAAUGAUAUAUAGGAGGGGAACUUUCUAUAGUAAAAGGGUGCUUUAAAGGCAUCGCUUUAAGAUGGGCCUGCGGUGUAUUAGCUAGUUGGUAGGGUAAUGGCCUACCAAGGCAACGAUGCAUAGCCG